RNAcentral lists this ribosomal RNA (441 nucleotides) under uncultured Alphaproteobacteria bacterium. RNAcentral describes it as "bacterial SSU rRNA". It matches the Rfam family "Bacterial small subunit ribosomal RNA", at positions 29 to 505 of the family's 1533-position model. Lineage: Bacteria; Pseudomonadati; Pseudomonadota; Alphaproteobacteria. The record is from RNAcentral.
AACGAACGCUGGCGGCGCGCCUCAGACAUGCAAGUCGAACGAGAAGCACUCUUCGGAGUGUGGACAGUGGCAAACGGGUGCGUAACACGUGGGAAUCUACCCUGAAGCUCAGAACAACAUCGGGAAACCGGUGCUAAUACUGAAUAAUGACUCCGGUCCAAAGAUUUAUCACUUCAGGAGGAGCCCGCGCUAGAUUAGCUUGUUGGUAAGGUAACGGCUUACCAAGGCGACGAUCUAUAGCUGGUCUUAGAGGAUGAUCAGCCACACUGGGACUGAGACACGGCCCAGACUCCUACGGGAGGCAGCAGUCGGGAAUAUUGGACAAUGGGCGAAAGCCUGAUCCAGCGACGCCGCGUGUGUGAUGAAGGCCUUCGGGUUGUAAAGCACUUUUGGCAGGGAAGAUUAUGACGGUACCUGCAGAAUAAGCCCCGGCUAACUUCG